GGCUUAUCUAAACUUUGUCUUUGGGACAACACUGCGCCUAUCCCUGUUUCAGACGCAUCAACUUCAAGUAAAAAGGGUAGAGAGGUAUCAGGAUGAACUAAUACAGGUGCUGAGGCAAAAGACUGUUUGAGCGUUUCGAAAGCAGCUAAAGCCUCAGUAGACCAGGUUUUGGUAUCGGCUCCUUGUUUGGUCAUAUUAGUGAUAGGAGCGAUAACAGAGG
Molecule: non-coding RNA, 220 nt
Organism: Pelobates cultripes (western spadefoot toad)
Lineage: Eukaryota; Metazoa; Chordata; Amphibia; Anura; Pelobatidae
Source: the annotation of a GenBank genome assembly